AGCAGCCGCGGUAAUCCCAGCUCCAAUAGCGUAUAUUAAAGUUGUUGCAGUUAAAAAGCUCGUAGUUGAAUUUCGGGAUUGACACAUCGGUCGUGCCUUAAGGGUAUGAACUGGUGUAGUCAAUUUCUCACCUUCUGGAGAACCGCGAUGCCCUUAAUUGGGUGUCGCGGGGAACCAGGACCUUUACUUUGAAAAAAUUAGAGUGUUUAAAGCAGGCAUUUUGCUUGAAUACAUUAGCAUGGAAUAAUAAAAUAGGACGGCAUGAUUCUAUUUUGUUGGUUUCUAGGAUCACCGUAAUGAUUAAUAGGGAUAGUUGGGGGCAUUAGUAUUCAAUUGUCAGAGGUGAAAUUCUUGGAUUUAUUGAAGACUAAACUACUGCGAAAGCAUUUGCCAAGGAUGUUUUCAUUAAUCAAGAACGAAAGUUAGGGGAUCGAAGACGAUCAGAUACCGUCGUAGUCUUAACCAUAAACUAUGCCGACUAGGAAUCAGACGAUGUUAAUUUUUUAAUGACUCGUUUGGC
RNAcentral lists this unclassified non-coding RNA (520 nucleotides) under uncultured Entrophospora. Its description in RNAcentral is "SSU rRNA". It matches the Rfam family "Eukaryotic small subunit ribosomal RNA", at positions 569 to 1084 of the family's 1831-position model. The record is from RNAcentral. Lineage: Eukaryota; Fungi; Glomeromycota; Glomeromycetes; Entrophosporales; Entrophosporaceae.